CGCCGGUUGCCUCCGCCGUCCCCUUCUAGAAAACCCAUUUGCUCUCUCUCUCUUUCCUCCGCGAAGCGCGGCUCUUUUUGUGGACCGCGCCUCCGCCUCCGCCGGUUUCCUCCAUCGUCGCCUCCCGGAGCCCAUCGGUGGCUUAGAUCCUGACCACGCGGCCGCCUCCGCCUACGCCGUCGCCGUCUCCUCCGAAGCCCUCCAUUGGCGAUUCGUCCUCUGCCACUUUCUCUCUAUCCCAAGAAAUGGCUCCGCUCUGCUCUCUGUGACGAACCGCGCCUCCGCGGUCGCCUCCCGCAGCCCCUUUGGAGAUCUCGGGCUUCGACUCGCCCUCUGCGUUACCUCCCGAAGCCCCAUUCUCAGGAUAGGGUUUUGUAUGACUUGAGCUUCCCGUCGUUUUUGCCCUAAAGUGAAGAUUGGUGGCUCAGAUCUCGACCACGCGACCGCCUCCGCCUACGCCGUCGCCUCCGAAGCCCCCCAUUUGGCGAUUCGUCCUCUGCCCCUCUCUCUUUGUCCCGAGAAACGGCUUUGCUCGGCUCUCUGUGACGAACCGCGCUACCAACAGUUUGGUUUCGUGAUCAAUGAGCGGCCGAGGAUCAAUAAGAACAAGCACAAGGAUCUCCUGCAUGCAUUGAAAUGUUGCUUGAAGUCUGAUGAUGCGAUUCACUAUGCACAAUAUGUUUUGAGGUGGGAAGAAAUGCCUGCUGUUGAACGUGCUCAUUUGUCGCGGGAGAAACAGGCAAUUUUUUAACUCUUCCUUUUAUUGCCAAAGUUCAAUAUCCUGAUCAUUUCUCUUGUGAGAAAUCCAUAAUAUAGGAUGUAUUUGCGAGCAAUGUACUGCAACUUAUUUGGGCUACUAUGUUAAUUUGUUGGGCUUAUCUGCAAACAAUAGACA
Long non-coding RNA from Syzygium oleosum, 895 nucleotides. RefSeq lists it as uncharacterized. NCBI's taxonomy places the organism in Eukaryota, Viridiplantae, Streptophyta, Magnoliopsida, Myrtales, Myrtaceae. The transcript has 4 exons. The record is from RefSeq and is a predicted model, not a curated record.